CAGUGGCUCCGUAUUCUGCCUCAUCCCAGCUUCCACCAUAGGAUCUUCUUUUCAAGACACCUGGCUUGAGUCUCUGAGAUUGUCAUUGCUGAAGUGAAAGCCUGUGCUACAGAGGAAGAUGGGAACAGCAAGAUUAUGGACUACAGCUGCCUGAGUUGCAGCAUGCUGCUGGUGCUGGUGUACCUUGGUCAUGACCUGGGAGGA
Molecule: long non-coding RNA, 204 nt
Organism: Lonchura striata (white-rumped munia)
Lineage: Eukaryota; Metazoa; Chordata; Aves; Passeriformes; Estrildidae
Source: Ensembl